UCAAAUCCUAUUAUCACACUGUUUUGAAGUCGCUGACAAAUAUGGCAGGGGAGUACCCAAGAUCUGUACUAAUAGUCCUUGUUAUUUUCUCUCUGGUCGUGUCUCCCAUGUUACCUUGUGCUACGGCUCGUCCUCAUGGUACAAACCUGUAAACCACUAAAUAUAUUCCUGACCAGAAAAAUUGAGGCAGUUUGUUUAAGGGCAUUGAUUUUUUAAUAUUGAUAUUCUCUGUUACAGUUGUAUGUCCUGCUUGUGCAUGUUGCGGGCCUCCACCACCAGGCGGAGCCUGCUGUAGCUGCGGAUGCGCUUCGGUUCAAUCUCCACCCUCCGAAAUGGCAACUCCUUGAGAUAGAUUACUGGAUUUUAGUUGCUUCAGGGAUCCAUUUAGUAGCUCCAUAAAUGAUC
This 405-nucleotide long non-coding RNA is filed under the name Gossypium raimondii (Peruvian cotton). RNAcentral's name for it is "long non-coding RNA (GRAI_LNC008877)". Lineage: Eukaryota; Viridiplantae; Streptophyta; Magnoliopsida; Malvales; Malvaceae. The record is from RNAcentral.